This 1278-nucleotide long non-coding RNA is filed under the name Gouania willdenowi (blunt-snouted clingfish). RNAcentral's name for it is "lncRNA (ENSGWIG00000002881.1)". The record is from RNAcentral. Lineage: Eukaryota; Metazoa; Chordata; Actinopteri; Blenniiformes; Gobiesocidae.
GUCCGCGGUUCUGUGUGAUUGGCAUACUGUCCUGCCCACACAGGUAAGCUGUUAUGGUUCAAAAAUAUGCUGCCUGAACCUCAGCACCAAUCAGUGCGUGCAGGGGGCGGGGCUCACUCUUCCUGUUAGGUUGGUAGGAUAGAGGGUAAAAUAUACCAAGAGAGGGAUCCAAUCCGGUUUGAGCUAGUUCUGGUACUGCUUGGACCUUUUAUGCAAAGUCCCAGAGCGCUCUGGAGGUGUGGGACUGAUACACGUAUCAAAGACUGUGAAAACCCGUGUUGUUUUAUUCCUCGUGUCCUGUAAACCUUGAGCAACAAUGGGCAAAAAGAAAGGUUGCUCCAGCGCAGAGCAUGAGGGUCCUCCACAAGAACCCAGGAGGUCUGGUAGGCUUUCAAAUAACUUAAAGCCUCAACCAGAGAAGGUUAAGAGCGCCAAGGCUAAACCAGAGAAGGUUAAGGGACCUCCUAAAAAGAAGCCAAAGGUGACCGAAAACGCUUGCGCCGAGGAGAGCAAAAAAGAAGAAAAGACAGAGGACAAAACUCCUGCAGCAGAAAAUGGAGACAAAAAGCCUGACGAGGCUACCGCAGAAGAGGAAAAGAAGGAAGAUGACAAUGAGGACACAGGUGAAGAGGAAGAGGAAAAAGGUCCUGAGUAAUCGUCAAACCACAUGACCUACAUUCCAGAACUUCCUGUACCUCCUUAGAUGUAAAAUGCAGAGAUUAUUUUUGUCUACUAUUUUCCUAAGAUAGGAAGGUUUUUAGGGAUGUUGAUUGCUUUGAAAUAUGCUACAAUUCCAUAGACUUCUGUCACCUUUGUGAAGGGAACAAUUUCUUGUGAUCUUAUUGGUUUUUUUACACACUAAGUUUUUCUUCAUUCUUUUUUUCUUUUUUUUUUUUGCAUGACUUGCUAAAGCAUCUCGGGAAUGGUUGACUUUUAAGACAUUGUGAGGUGUCAUGUAACCUCGACUGUUGUAUUUGUAAUGUACAUUUAUAAUUGUGUCAUGACUCAAAAGUUGUAUUCUGUGCUCAAAGCAUUUACUUCAAUGACGGUCGGAAAACUAAAUUUAAUUUGCAUUUGUUUUUAAGGUACAUUCAUCCAUUUCAUGAUAAGAGUUGCUUGGCUAGUUCAUUUUUACAUUUUUGAUGGUGCAUCCUUUUAGGAUAUCUGUAGGGUUUUGGGGUUUCUUGACAAAUGUACAGUUUCUUUUUUUUUUUCUUUUUACUUAAAAUGUUUUAAACAAUGUAAAAUGCCAAUUAAAAAGGGGAUUUUCAAAUUGUU